AGUUAUGCUACGGACCAUUUAAAAUUAAUUACGAUUUUCGAUUCAUUCAAUUAUAUUUCAUUAAAAAUACCCCUCUAGAAAAUUCUUUGGAGACGCCUAUUUAAUCGCCUAGGUGCCUAUUUUCGCAGCGAAGCAAGAGGAAAGCACCGCGCAUGUUUCUAUCGGAUCGAUACGAAUCGAUUUCCGAUAACAUUGAACAGCAGUUGGUCAGGAAACGGCUCGAAGGGCGGAUGGCGCGCCGCGAGUGAGGUUAUUCUCACUUUUAAGUGACGGGAUUGAAACAAAUUUUCGAUGGAAAUCAAAUAAUUAGAAGGAAAUUAAGCGUCAGCUAAUCCCAUCUACAAAACUAGAUAACCAAAGUUAAACAUGUCUUUGGACUUCUUCACAUAACAGAAGUGGAUAUUCCGGCGUGCCUGCCUUGUUUCAAUCCCGUAACUUAGUUAUUUAGUCACACAACGUGACUCUAUCACGUUGAUUAUGUACUACCUAGUUAGAUUGCUAGCCACUCUGUGAUGGUUUAUCCCUAGAGUGGGCUGUUUUUGUUGGAUAAUACACCAUACCGGAUUUUAUUACAACCAGCAUCUUCACCCAGGACCUUGCAGUAGGACUUACUCACCACAGCAGCCAACCAUUUUAUCGUGCCAAAAGGGAAUUUCCUACGGAAUUCAUCUCCAUGGACUUGCAACCCUACUUUUAACCGACUGUUGUGUAAAAGCUAAGUUUAUUUACUUUUUCAUUAUUUACUUUUGGGUAAGAUAUAUUUGCUACAUUGUAAACUUUUCGUAUGCAUACGAUUAGGAAGAGUACAUAUAUUUUCGUGAUAGAUAGGGUUUUAGGUUGUUGUUUUUUUUUUUCUUUUUGAUUCAGUAUAAGUAGGAGUUAGUUAAAAUAAAUAAAAUCAGGUCUUGUUUAAUAAUCAUAAAUAAUUGUAUCUUAAAAUUUAAUAGGGAAUCGGGUUGUAAAAUUUUGUCGCGGAUUUUAAAUAGGGAAUACGUCUCGUAGGUUUUUUUUGUAAAAUAUAUAAAGAGUCACUGACCAACUCAUUUAUAUAGACCUUUUUGCUAUUCCAACGGACUUUUGAUUUGGAUUUUGAUUUUAAUACUUUUGCUUGGCCAGUGAUAGUGGAUAAUUGCUUGUUGAGUGGCCUUUGCGGUCCUAUUUUAUCUUUUCCCCAUCCACUAUCACUGUUAUUACGUUGCGUUAUAUGUAAAGUGUUAUUAUUUAAUAUUUAUUAUUAAUAUAUUUGUAUGUAUUAAGGUUGGUGUUUUAUUUCAGUCUGUAUUACCAGUAUAUAACAUAGCAAGACAAGAUCAGUAUUUAGUAUUUUAUAUUUCAGGUGGUUGUAACCAGUGUCAUAGAGUUCCUGUUGUUCGUUAUUUCAAAAUCUCGAACCUGUCCAACUUCUUGGUUCUGAGAGCCGAGUUGUUCGUUCGAGUUGGCGCCCUUUUUUCUUCUUCUUUCUUUGUUGUAACUCGAUAUUAUUUUAUCUCUAGCAUUCUUAUCUAUUUUCCUUCCAUUUUUGUAUUAACAGUCUCAUUUCCUUCCUAGUUACUAUCAUUUCAUUACCAAAUUUUCUUCUCAUAUCUCCAAAGCCAAUAUUCGGUGUAUUGAAGCUAGCCCGAAUACUCACUUGAGAUUUAGUGUCUCUCUGCCCUUUUGAUUUUUUUUCCUUCUGAGCUAAGCCCCUCUUCUUUUGUCUUAAAUCUCUUAUCAUUUAUUUUACCCAUCUUUAGUCAGUUCUUCUCUUCAAAAAUCUCUAUACCCAGAGUAAAGAGGGUUCAAUUGGCUAGACCCAACGUGUAGCUUCUUUUACAUUUUUGGCUUUAAAAAUAUUUUCUUUAACUUUUGGUUUUAUCUUGGUGGUUUCAGUGCCUGUGUUUUUAGAUUUUCAUUUUAACGUUUAGUUUAUACUUCAAUUUUUUUUUGGACAGUAUCUUGUAUCUAUAUCUUGAAUAAACUUGUUUUGCUAUGGUAUACUGUGUUGACUGAAUGGAUUGCUUUGUUUUGAUUGGUCAAAUAAUUAUUUUGAAUUAAUAAUAAAUAAAUUGAAAAUUUGAAUAUCUUGAAUUUAGCUAUUUUACAAGUCCGGAAUAGCAUUAAAAGUGAAUCACUACCUUGAAUUAAAAGUUUUUUCGAUUUUAGGUUUAUCGGAAGUUGUAGCAGUACAUUUCAACGGAUUUCACGACUGGACCAAACAAAUAAACAUUACUGGUAUAGGUAUCCACUCACAACAUUAACUUGAGGACAGAGAGUAAGUUAAACUUUACCUACUUACAUUUUAUCUCAUUCUCGUGUUUAUUUCCCAGUUGUUUAUAAUGGCAUCGUUAAGGUAUAAAAUCUUUUUAUUUAUUUUGUUUACCUAGUUAACAUCUGUUGUUGUGCCUUUUAUCUUAUUUUAUCUUAUCUUAAUGUUGACUAAUAUCUUAGUUUUGGACUUGUUCAUUUUGCUGUGAGUUGCCUCUUGAAAGUCCAAACUAUAUACCAUAGGAGUACAGGAUGGAUAAUGGGAAUUUUCCCCAUCUUGAAUUCUGGGUUAAAUAAGUAUUUACAGGGAUAAUUGGAAAACACUUUUCAAAAAAAAAAUAUUUUCUUUGAUUUACUUAUGGUCUUAUAUGGUUUCGCGCGGACCAUGCCCAUAAAGCUUAUGUAGUCGCUUUACUGUGUCAGGGUUUAGCGUGGGUUCAGGACUGAUCACCCCGAACUUGUGCACUUCACUUGGCUCAGAAAUACAUUAAUAUCUAUAAGUUGUUCCCAGAGUGUCUCUUAGGUUGAAAUUAGAAUGUGUCAUCUAGAAUUGGAUCGUUCUGAUAUUCAGCAGUAAGUAAGUCUGUUUAACUUGGUUGUCAUCUCCUAUGCUGUUAUCUUUUAAAUGAUUUGAGUUUUAACAUAUCUUUACCUGAAGUGACUUUACCUUUACCUGAAGUGAGUUUACCUUUACCUGAAGUGAGCUUAUCUUUACCUUUACCUGAGGUGAGCUUAUCUUUACCUUUACCUGAAGUGAGUUUAUCUUUACCUGAAGUGACUUUACCUUUACCUGAAGUGAGUUUACCUUUACCUGAAGUGAGCUUAUCUUUACCUUUACCUGAGGUGAGCUUAUCUUUACCUUUACCUGAAGUGAGUUUAUCUUUAUCUUUACCUGAAGUGACUUUACCUUUACCUGAAGUGAGUUUAUCUUUACCUUGAGUUUAUCUCGUACCUUUACCUUGAUGAGUGCAUCUCUUAUCUAUAUCUGAUUGAAUGUAUAUCUUAUCUUUAUCUUGAUUAUUAUAAAGUCCUAAGAAUCUGUCCUUCUCUGUGCUUGUCGUGAGUAAAGAAUUGGAUCACGUCAAUAGUGCAGUUUAGGUAUUACAGUUAGGACCCUAAUUAUAUCUUACCUUUUGUGCAUACCCUCUACCACGAGUAGAUGUGGGCUUGCAAUUAUCUUUACCUUUUAGCAUACUCUAUACCAUGAGUAUAGUGGGCUUGCUAGUAUCUUUACCUAGAUUGUGUCUUCCUAUCACUGCUCAAGAGAGUAGAUGUUAAGGAUUAUCUUUUACCUUGAUUUUUAGUUGUUGGUGAUAUCCAGAACCAUAUCAUUAUUUAUGUUUAGCUUUGUAGUAAUGUAGUUUCAACUAGUCUUGAUGAAUUAGUCCCUCAUUGAAUUCUCGGGUGAUUAGUAGAAUUUGUUCGCUCUAGUAUCAAUGUUGGGUAAAUUUGAUAUGUUGAUUGUUGUGUAUGGUUCUUGGUUAUACUGUGUUAGGUGUUGUUAAUACACACCUGUAAUUUAGAUUUAAUGAUGGGUUACUAACACUUGAGAAUGCAGAUAGUAAGUAGUGUUAAGAGUUGACUUACUCUAUAAGGUUGUAUAAUUAUAUUUAGAAUGUAAGUGAUUAACGUGUAAUUAUUUGUUUUUCUCUAUCUUUGGUUUUACUAAAUUAAAGUAAAUUAUCUUGUUGAAUAACUCAUGUCGGUCAGUUACACAUCCCUUCUAUGUUCUAUACUUUCUGCAAAUAUGAUUAAAUAUAUCUCACGUGGCCUCUAUACUAUGUAUGACUUCGUUCCUGAUUUUUGUUCUGUCCCCUCAGCAAAUAGUAUGACUGUUGAGCCUACCAUCAUUAUGUUUUUAUCCCACAACGUUACUCCUUUACCGUGUCCACCCUCAGGUUCGCCCUAGCGUCAGUUAGUUCUGGAAAAUAAAAAAAAAGGAAACUUGUGGAGUUUUCCUUUUUUUUUGCUGGAGAUAAGGGAGAAUGUAGCAGUUAUGCUACGGACCAUUUAAAAUUAAUUACGAUUUUCGAUUCAUUCAAUUAUAUUUCAUUAAAAAUACCCCUCUAGAAAAUUCUUUGGAGACGCCUAUUUAAUCGCCUAGGUGCCUAUUUUCGCAGCGAAGCAAGAGGAAAGCACCGCGCAUGUUUCUAUCGGAUCGAUACGAAUCGAUUUCCGAUAACAUUGAACAGCAGUUGGUCAGGAAACGGCUCGAAGGGCGGAUGGCGCGCCGCGAGUGAGGUUAUUCUCACUUUUAAGUGACGGGAUUGAAACAAAUUUUCGAUGGAAAUCAAAUAAUUAGAAGGAAAUUAAGCGUCAGCUAAUCCCAUCUACAAAACUAGAUAACCAAAGUUAAACAUGUCUUUGGACUUCUUCACAUAACAGAAGUGGAUAUUCCGGCGUGCCUGCCUUGUUUCAGUAAGUACAUAAUACAUUUAUCUCUCAUUCCUUCGUUGUGAAAUCCAAUGCAUCAUUGUAGUUAGAUCUUUUGUUAGAGUAAUUUACCACAUAAAUUCCAUAUUAUAGCUCAUAUUAUCCUUAAAUAUUUGAAAGGAACAUUCAAUCAAGGCCAUAGUUUUUUCUAGUGUCCAAACCUAAAUUUUAAUAUCUUUUAUACCUGAUCGUUAGGCUUUUUAUUUAAGUUUUUUUAUCUGUGAUUUAUAAAAAGUUUUAACGAGUAUCUAUACAGCCUUCUGUCACGCCCAUCUAAUGCGCACGUCCCUGUCAUGUCUGAAUUGAAGUAAACUUCAGAAAUUUUGACAUGACAUAUGAAUACCUAACCUACCUAAUAUUUGGUGUUUUUGUUUGGGCCUGUUCAAUAUGUACUGCUACUGUUCUUGAAAUACAUCAUAACUAAUUAAAUAAACUUUAUUUUAGAUCCCGUAACUUAGUUAUUUAGUCACACAACGUGACUCUAUCACGUUGAUUAUGUACUACCUAGUUAGAUUGCUAGCCACUCUGUGAUGGUUUAUCCCUAGAGUGGGCUGUUUUUGUUGGAUAAUACACCAUACCGGAUUUUAUUACAACCAGCAUCUUCACCCAGGACCUUGCAGUAGGACUUACUCACCACAGCAGCCAACCAUUUUAUCGUGCCAAAAGGGAAUUUCCUACGGAAUUCAUCUCCAUGGACUUGCAACCCUACUUUUAACCGACUGUUGUGUAAAAGCUAAGUUUAUUUACUUUUUCAUUAUUUACUUUUGGGUAAGAUAUAUUUGCUACAUUGUAAACUUUUCGUAUGCAUACGAUUAGGAAGAGUACAUAUAUUUUCGUGAUAGAUAGGGUUUUAGGUUGUUGUUUUUUUUUCUUUUUGAUUCAGUAUAAGUAGGAGUUAGUUAAAAUAAAUAAAAUCAGGUCUUGUUUAAUAAUCAUAAAUAAUUGUAUCUUAAAAUUUAAUAGGGAAUCGGGUUGUAAAAUUUUGUCGCGGAUUUUAAAUAGGGAAUACGUCUCGUAGGUUUUUUUUGUAAAAUAUAUAAAGAGUCACUGACCAACUCAUUUAUAUAGACCUUUUUGCUAUUCCAACGGACUUUUGAUUUGGAUUUUGAUUUUAAUACUUUUGCUUGGCCAGUGAUAGUGGAUAAUUGCUUGUUGAGUGGCCUUUGCGGUCCUAUUUUAUCUUUUCCCCAUCCACUAUCACUGUUAUUACGUUGCGUUAUAUGUAAAGUGUUAUUAUUUAAUAUUUAUUAUUAAUAUAUUUGUAUGUAUUAA
Molecule: long non-coding RNA, 5949 nt
Organism: Diabrotica virgifera virgifera (western corn rootworm)
Lineage: Eukaryota; Metazoa; Arthropoda; Insecta; Coleoptera; Chrysomelidae
Exons: 2
Source: RefSeq, a predicted model, not a curated record